Non-coding RNA from Pelobates cultripes (western spadefoot toad), 407 nucleotides. NCBI's taxonomy places the organism in Eukaryota, Metazoa, Chordata, Amphibia, Anura, Pelobatidae. The record is from the annotation of a GenBank genome assembly.
CAUCAGAAUUCUGUUGUUGAGAAGAAUUCAGGCCAGACAAUGCGGGCAGAAUUAAUUAUUGAAUCUUAUAGAUAAAACAAUAAAAUAACCAAACCUCCCAUGUUUCUUGUAUCUGGUGGAGGUGGUGCUGGAGAAACACUUACAGGAGACAUAUUAAGUCUACAUACAGCCUUUGUCGUCUCUAUCUUCCGUCUCUUAGCCCAUCUAUCUGUCCAUCUUACAAGCCCCACAGCUCACAUCUCUCUCUCAAUUAUUACAAAUUUGGAACCGUUCCUCUCGGCACUCAAUUGUCCACUCCUCUCUUCCCUUCUUACUAGCAGACAUGGAUAGAGAAAUAGGUGGAUGUAUUGAGUGUGGCGAAAAGCGGACAUGUACACUGACACAUGAUGACUGGAGGGUGUGGGGCU